Urocitellus parryii (Arctic ground squirrel) is the source of this 2288-nucleotide long non-coding RNA. RefSeq lists it as uncharacterized. The record is from RefSeq and is a predicted model, not a curated record. NCBI's taxonomy places the organism in Eukaryota, Metazoa, Chordata, Mammalia, Rodentia, Sciuridae.
UUCUUUAGGAGAGAGAGAGAGAGAGAGAGAGAGAGAGAGAGAGAGAGAGAGAGAGGAUUGAGGAGAAUAACAAUCACAGGAAUCCAUCAUGUCACAACUGAUUUAAUUGUGUUUUACUUGAUCCUCACAAUGAAAUACUGAAGGCAUAAAGAAAAUUGUGGCUAAUUGUCAAUGAUCCAUGAGGAAGAGGAGCCCAGUGUUUUAAAGGACAUGCACGMGGUCACUCAAAUGGUUCAAAAAGCAAUGUGGCCAGCUGAUAAUGGACAGAAGCCUCUGAAACCUAGGAGGGAAUGGAGAUAGAGAAGAUUUGAGAAGAGAGAGGAAGGGAAGAGGAGACCCACUCUUAAUAGAGCUGCUCAGGAAUGAACCCACAGAAACUUCUUUCCUGGCUCAUUUGGUCCCAUUKUACUGCUGGCUGCUGGUGAACCAGGAGGAGGUUCAAUUGCUCUUCAAAUCCAAGUCACAACAGGAAUUCUGAAUCAGAUAGAGGAAAUACGAAUUGUGUCCAUCCUAUAGAUGAAGAAUGGAGAGAAUUGCCUCACAUGCAAUGGAAUGGCACAAGGAUUCAAGGCUGGGGACUUUGUGACAUGCCAAAAAUGUACAUGAAGAAGGACAAAGGGAAGGAAAGGGAAUAAGGCUCUCCUUUAGACUGUAUGCAAGGAGUUACGUGCUGGAUACUAAUUUUUGUGAGACUAAGAGGAGGGUUUAUAUCUGAAGCUGGUCUUCCAUGCCUCAUCCACCUCCUGUGGAACUGUAUUUUCAUAGCCUGAUGCCAGGUUCCUUACCUCUGCCAUCCCAUCACUGAUGGUCAGUCUCAUUUGUGCUGAAAUGACCUGAGCUUUGGGUCUAGAUGUCAAAAUAUUUAUUCCCCAAUUUCACUUGCAAUUCUUGAGAGGUAACAGAAACCCAUCAGAACAUCACUGCUACCUUUUAUGGGAUACAAAGAUCCUAGUCUGUUGAGACCCAGGGACCAUGUGGGUUAUCAYUAAUCUGUUGUUCCCUGUGAUCCUUUUUACACCUUACUUCUGCAGACCACAGCCAAAGGAGUCUUUCUUAAUGAUAUUCAACAUUUAUUCAUCAAAUUCUUAUUCAUCACCUACUAUUGUGCCAACAAGGGCACCAAGUGACCAAGUAUCAAGGAAAGGUGACCCCUUCCCAUACCCUCAGCUACCAGCUGGGUAUUACCUAAUGAGAAGGCCCAUUGAGAAUAAAAAUGGUGCAUCUUUACAAUCUAAGUUCCCAGAAACACCAGGACCUGGGUUUGAAUCUUCUACCACUAGAUUUGCACCUGUGGACAAGUUUUCCUCAUCUGAAAAAUAGGAAUAUAUUCCUUUCAGAGCUACAGUAAGGAUUCAAAAUGUGCAAAAAGAAUGGAUUGUGAAGAAUGUGUUUCCUUCUCUCAAGGGACUUGGAGUCUAGUUGGAGCACUAAAACCACCACCACCACCACCACCACCAUCAUCAUCAUCAUCAUAAUAGGAUCUAUAACAAAUGCCUUUGAAAGUCAGAUAGGAGUUGAAAACAAGGAGGGAGGCAUCCCACCACAUUGUUACAUCUGCUCAGUUUUGUUCAACAUGCAUUUAUUAAGCUACCAUGGACUACCAUGGACCAGUCCAAUUCACAACUUCCAGAGUCAGGAAGACUUGGGUUGGAAUCCCAUCUCUACCACUUACCAGAGGUGUGACUUCAGGCAGUUACUUAAUAGCCCUCUGAGUUUGUUGCUGAGUUUCCUCAGAAUAAGGAUGUUAACAGUACCUGCCUUAUAGGUUGUUGUGAAGAAUAAAUAAAUUAAUGUAUAUACGGAGAAUAAAUAAAUUAAUGUAAUGCGGUCCUUGGCACACUGUAAGUGCUCAACAAAUUAUAGUUGCUACCAUAGUCAUGACCACCACCAUUGCUGGUGUGUGUGUUUAACCUAAGGAUUUAAAAAAUGAAUAAAAUAUGUUUCCUGCCCUCAAACCCCUCACAGUUUAAUAGAUUCUGGAAUUUAGUAACAGCCUUUCAUAAGUGAUCCAGGUGGAACAUGGCCUACCAUUCUAGAAAAGGAAAAGAUUUUCCUUUGGAAAUUUGCAAUAUUGUGACCUAGAGGAGGAGGGUCCUGGCUUUUACUUACCACACCCACUUUGUUUUUCUAGAGCUCCCUAUGAAACUGGGAUAGUGAUUAGAGUCUUCACUAGAUCUAUUGKUUUUUGCCAGGCUGAAACUUAGCCUUUUUAGGAGGCCCAGAUUUUGUGCCUUUUAUUAUACAUUUAUGCCAAGCUGUGGCUUAUAUUGUUCAGGGUGUUCCAAAGU